UCCCCCUACACCUAGACAAGCUAAUUCCCCAAGUGAUAUGGCUCCCCGCCCUCUACAGGUUCCAAGCCUCCAUCCAGUGCAGUUCCCAUCGUAAAACUCAAUCCACCAUUCCUGCUUGGAACGAGGCUUCUGGUGGGGAGAGAUUUCCCACGUCACAGCAAGUGUGCUCAGUGAUAAGCAAAUUCUGCCAGUUUCUUCGACGAGCAGCCCCGUAAAGCAGAAGUUAAUUUCUGAUAACCAGAUAUAGCUGUGGCAUGCAUGAAGCAGCGCACUUCUAAUUUUUAGGACUACAAUUAAAUUGCAAAUAUUCUAA
RNAcentral lists this long non-coding RNA (313 nucleotides) under Rattus norvegicus (Norway rat). RNAcentral's name for it is "long non-coding RNA NONRATT006672". The record is from RNAcentral. Lineage: Eukaryota; Metazoa; Chordata; Mammalia; Rodentia; Muridae.